Molecule: small nuclear RNA, 105 nt
Organism: Ailuropoda melanoleuca (giant panda)
Lineage: Eukaryota; Metazoa; Chordata; Mammalia; Carnivora; Ursidae
Source: Ensembl
CUGCUCAUUUUGUCAGCACAUAUACUAAAAUUGGAGCAAUACAGAAAAUUAGCAUGGCUCUUGCACAAGGAUGACAUGGAAAUUCCCAAAGAAUUCCAUAUUUUU